GACGAACGCUGGCGGCGUGCUUAACACAUGCAAGUCGAACGGAAAGGCCCUGCUUUUGUGGGGUGCUCGAGUGGCGAACGGGUGAGUAACACGUGAGUAACCUGCCCUUGACUUUGGGAUAACUUCAGGAAACUGGGGCUAAUACCGGAUAGGAGCUCCUGCCGCAUGGUGGGGGUUGGAAAGUUUCGGCGGUUGGGGAUGGACUCGCGGCUUAUGAGCUUGAUGGUGGGGUAGUGGCUUACCAAGGCUUUGACGGGUAGCCGGCCUGAGAGGGUGACCGGCCACAUGGGGACUGAGAUACGGAGCAGACUCCUACGGGAGGCAGCAGGGGGGAAUAUGGCAGAAUGGGCGGAAGCCUGAUGCAGCAACGCCGCGUGCGGGAUGACGGCCUUCGGGUUGUAAACCGCUUUCGCCUGUGACGAAGCGUGAGUGACGGUAAUGGGUAAAGAAGCACCGGCUAACUACGUG
This 468-nucleotide ribosomal RNA is filed under the name uncultured bacterium. Its description in RNAcentral is "partial 16S ribosomal RNA". It matches the Rfam family "Bacterial small subunit ribosomal RNA", at positions 28 to 507 of the family's 1533-position model. The record is from RNAcentral.